RNAcentral lists this long non-coding RNA (467 nucleotides) under Triticum aestivum (bread wheat). RNAcentral describes it as "long non-coding RNA (TAES_LNC021514)". The record is from RNAcentral. Lineage: Eukaryota; Viridiplantae; Streptophyta; Magnoliopsida; Poales; Poaceae.
AGCAGGUGCCUUCUGUGCGUAUAAAAUGUUUCCAGCUUCAACUCUCAAAUAUAAGCAAUGUCAAGGUUCUCAAGGACCACUACUAAAAUUGUAAAACAUUAGAGGAGAACUUAAGGCUGUGUAGCUACACUAGAGUUAAGGUACGGCCUUUCAUGAACUCUUCUUGGGCACUCUGUCUCUACUAACAAGCAGGUGCAAGGGAACAAAGAAAGCUUACUUGCCUAUCUCCAUUUUGCAGAUUAUAAACCAUGGGAUCAGUCAAUCUGUCAUGGAUGGAGCUGUUGAAGCAGCUUCAGAUUUCUUCAAACUGCCAAGUGAGACAAAGGAAGAGUUUGCAUCAGACGACCUCCGACGGCCUGUUAGAUAUGACACCAGCUCAAAGGACGGCAUUAGUAUGUCACGGGCAUACCUAAAGCAUUAUGCCCAUCCCCUGAGUGAAUGGAUGCAAUAUUGGCCGGAAAACCCCC